AUAGUAAUAACUGAAAAUGGAUUAUUUAGCUAUAUUUACAACAAUGUUUAAUAUAUUAAAAGGAUUAAGGUAGAAAGGGAAAGACCCAACAAGUAGAAGAAGAUUAAAUUAAAGUGUUAUGUGAACAGUUGUAGUUCUUUACUAGCUUUAAGUCCAGUGUUCAGAAAAGGUUUGUUGUGUUUGAUAAGCAGUGCUUCAAGAAAAGUAAGAAUGUUGUAGUUGUUAGAUUUUGUAAUGUGAAGUAUUCUGUAGCUGUUGAAAACAAGGUUUUCAAUAGGGGAAGAGUUGUCAGAAGGCAAAGGAAGAUCGUUGAGUAAUGCGAACUGGUCUUGCUAUAUUAAAAGACAAUGUCAAUGUUGAAUAACAUAGCGGUUCCUUUUUGGCUUCCAUUGCGUCCGUUAUGAUUUAUUGUUCUUUUGGCCGUCAUUUUGGCAUUUAAUUCUUUCCAAACCUGGUUUAUCUUCGCCAUUUUGUCGUAAAUCGCAUGUGGAAUCACUGCUUCCAUUUUUGUCAUCAAAAUUUCUCAUUUUUGUCAUCAAAAUUUCUCUAAGUUCCUAACAGCUGGUAAAUUUGUUGUCACUGUGCAG
Molecule: non-coding RNA, 587 nt
Organism: Paramuricea clavata
Lineage: Eukaryota; Metazoa; Cnidaria; Anthozoa; Malacalcyonacea; Plexauridae
Source: the annotation of a GenBank genome assembly